RNAcentral lists this ribosomal RNA (390 nucleotides) under Metaphire dunan. Its description in RNAcentral is "partial small subunit ribosomal RNA". Lineage: Eukaryota; Metazoa; Annelida; Clitellata; Crassiclitellata; Megascolecidae. The record is from RNAcentral.
UCAUGAUGUAUACAAUAGUUAAAUAUUACGAACCAUGGUUUAAAAUUUAAAGAUUUUGGCGGUGUCUUAUAAAACCAGGGGAACCUGUCUCAUAACUCGAUAAUCCACGAAUAUUCAACCUUCUCUCGAUACCCAGCAUGUGUACUGCCGUUGUAAGUAUACCUUUAAAAGAACAAGUAUACUACUAUGGCUACCAGACAACCCCAUUUACAUCAGGUCAAAGUGCAGCUUAUAGGAAGGUGAGGAUGGGUUACAACCCCAAAAUAGACUAUCAAUCAAGAAAAUAAAAAAUAUUGUGAAAGCGGACUUGGCUGUAAUCAAUUUAUAAAUUAAAAAAAUGAAUAUUCUCUAAGACAUGCACACAUCGCCCGUCACUCUAUCCUAAAGGUU